GUAUUUGUACAACACUCAACAGAGGCAUUACAAUGAUCUACUGAUACAAGCAUCCCCAAACACAUCUUUCCAUCUCCUUGCUGAUUAGGUAAAAAGGUGUACGUAUGACGACCAUCGAUUUUUCUCCAACAUUUUCAUGGCUGUUAGGGUUCCCCCCUCCUAGUGUUUCACUUGGGGGUGAAAGCCUAAAAUGGAGAAUAACAAACAACAGUUAGUAUAAACUCUACAAAACAAGCAAAUAUAUUAUCAAAACCACGAGUUGAACUUACAGCAAAAAUGGUGGCAUGACCAGGAUCGGCAAGGUGGGCAAAGAGGUUGUCAAUGGGCCCAGUGCCGGUGUAGAUAUGUUGGAACCAUGCACCCAUCACUGCCAACAUAGCCAAUCGGCCAUUCUUGAUCUCUUUCGUCCUCAGCUCCUUGAUCUUCUCAGGCGAACCACUUCCCCAGCCAAGAGGGUCAAACCACAGGCCACCUGGGUAUCCAAC
RNAcentral lists this long non-coding RNA (485 nucleotides) under Gossypium barbadense (sea-island cotton). RNAcentral's name for it is "long non-coding RNA (GBAR_LNC013645)". Lineage: Eukaryota; Viridiplantae; Streptophyta; Magnoliopsida; Malvales; Malvaceae. The record is from RNAcentral.